GUGAGUAAUAUAUCGGAACGUGCCCAGUCGUGGGGGAUAACGUAGCGAAAGCUACGCUAAUACCGCAUACGAUCUAUGGAUGAAAGCGGGGGAUCGCAAGACCUCGCGCGAUUGGAGCGGCCGAUAUCAGAUUAGCUAGUUGGUGAGGUAAAGGCUCACCAAGGCGACGAUCUGUAGCUGGUCUGAGAGGACGACCAGCCACACUGGAACUGAGACACGGUCCAGACUCCUACGGGAGGCAGCAGUGGGGAAUUUUGGACAAUGGGCGAAAGCCUGAUCCAGCAAUGCCGCGUGCAGGAUGAAGGCCUUCGGGUUGUAAACUGCUUUUGUACGGAACGAAAAAGCUUUCUCUAAUAAAGAGAGCUCAUGACGGUACCGUAAGAAUAAGCACCGGCUAACUACGUGCCAGCAGCCGCGGUAAUACGUAGGGUGCGAGCGUUAAUCGGAAUUACUGGGCGUAAAGCGUGCGCAGGCGGUUAUGUAAGACAGAUGUGAAAUCCCCGGGCUCAACCUGGGACCUGCAUUUGUGACUGCAUAGCUAGAGUACGGUAGAGGGGGAUGGAAUUCCGCGUGUAGCAGUGAAAUGCGUAGAUAUGCGGAGGAACACCGAUGGCGAA
RNAcentral lists this ribosomal RNA (617 nucleotides) under uncultured bacterium. RNAcentral's name for it is "bacterial SSU rRNA". It matches the Rfam family "Bacterial small subunit ribosomal RNA", at positions 106 to 719 of the family's 1533-position model. The record is from RNAcentral.